UACAGAGGUCUCAAGCGUUGUUCGGAUUCAUUGGGCGUAAAGGGUGCGCAGGCGGUUUUGUAAGCCAGAUGUGAAAUCCCCGGGCUUAACCUGGGAAUGGCAUUUGGGACUGCAAAGCUUGAGUGCGGCAGAGGGGACUGGAAUUCCUGGUGUAGCAGUGAAAUGCGUAGAGAUCAGGAGGAAUACCGAUGGCGAAGGCAGGUCCCUGGGCUGACACUGACGCUCAUGCACGAAAGCGUGGGGAGCAAACAGG
This 253-nucleotide ribosomal RNA is filed under the name uncultured bacterium. Its description in RNAcentral is "partial 16S ribosomal RNA". It matches the Rfam family "Bacterial small subunit ribosomal RNA", at positions 524 to 776 of the family's 1533-position model. The record is from RNAcentral.